GACGAACGCUGGCGGCGUGCUUAACACAUGCAAGUCGAACGAUGAAGAAGAGAAACGCGAACUUCGGUUCAAAUUUCACUUCGGAUUAGUGGCAGACGGGUGAGUAACGCGUUAUCAACCUACCUCUUACAAAGGGAUAGCCUCUGGAAACCGUGAUUACUACCAUGUGACACAUUCAUAACGCAUCUUAAGACUGUUAAAGCUACGGCGGUAAGGGAUGGGCUCGCGUCCCAUUAGCUAGUUGGUGAGGUAACGGCCCACCAAGGCGACGAUGGGUAAACGGCCUGAGAGGGUGAACCGUGACAUUGGAAGUGAGACACGGUGCAAACUACUACGGGAGGCAGCAGUGGGGAAUAUAGCCAAAUGGAGGGAACUAAGAUGCAGCGACGCCGCGUGAGCGAUGAAGGAAUUAGUUACGUAAAGCACUGUUAUAUGGGAAGAAAAGGACUGUACCAAAGGAGAAAGCCCCGGCUAACUACGUG
RNAcentral lists this ribosomal RNA (482 nucleotides) under uncultured bacterium. RNAcentral's name for it is "partial 16S ribosomal RNA". It matches the Rfam family "Bacterial small subunit ribosomal RNA", at positions 28 to 507 of the family's 1533-position model. The record is from RNAcentral.